Anopheles arabiensis is the source of this 526-nucleotide long non-coding RNA. RefSeq lists it as uncharacterized. NCBI's taxonomy places the organism in Eukaryota, Metazoa, Arthropoda, Insecta, Diptera, Culicidae. The transcript is spliced from 3 exons. The record is from RefSeq and is a predicted model, not a curated record.
AGAUUGGCGUUGACUCCGCCUAUACUCGGCGCAUGCCGAUACGGCCGAAGUUUGCCGAAGCCCGCCCGGGCCCUGCCCGUCCAUUAGGAUGCACUUGGUGCUUAGUGGCCAGAUAUCACACAGUGGGCAAGACAUACGGUGGUGAUGUACAUGUUCAAAACCCAUCGCAAUCACUAAUGUGACGGGAGAGAGAGAGGGUAUGAAAUAUAGAUGACGGAGAACGACUUGCGAGUACAUACCGUUGGUUGGCAUUUUUCGACACCGAAAUCGAGAUGGAGACGAACGGCCCGGCCCGGAGUUGUCGCUUAUUCUCAGUAAUAAUUUUACACAAAGUGCUGAAGCUAAAGUGUAGAAAAAGGUUAAAUAUUUUCACUUAAGUGUGUUCACACAGGAAUAAAGGCAGCGAAACCAUCUUUCUGUGGUUCACGUGUGUGUGUGUGCUAUGAACUGUGUCUAGAAAAAGGGACGUGCAAAAAAAGGAUAAUAAAAUUAUUGCUUUGCUUGUACUAAAGCGUGUUUUGUGAAA